GAGCGAUGAUGUCAAACUGCUGAACCUGAAGUGUUUUUGAACAGAAACACGUCAUGAAGGUCUCUACACUUGAACUGAGCUCA
This 83-nucleotide small nucleolar RNA is filed under the name Oryzias melastigma (Indian medaka). RNAcentral describes it as "Small nucleolar RNA U2-30 (ENSOMEG00000020999.1)". The record is from RNAcentral. Lineage: Eukaryota; Metazoa; Chordata; Actinopteri; Beloniformes; Adrianichthyidae.